GGGGCCGCCUGAACCCGCUCCGCCGGGCGCGGACCCUCCUCUCCCUUCGCCGUCCCCGCGGGAGGAGCGGCGAGAGGCUUUCGGCGAUGGCGUCGGGGGCUCGGAGGCGGCGGCGCCGCGGGUGGCAGAGCUGGAGGAAGGGCUGCGGGGUCGGGCGGAGCAGCGGAGCGCAGGCUCGAUGUUGUUGGAGUGCGGAGGGAAGACAGAGGUCAAAUAGCUGAUUAAGAAUUUGUGUGGUCUCUUGGAAACAUCUCCAGGUGUCGAAACCAGUUGCCAGCUUGGUUGUGGAAAGAGAAAAACAAAAAGCUGAAGUCAAGGACAGAAGAAUUUUAGAGAUUUUGUAAGCCAAAGGCAGCAAAAUAGAAUCUCUAGGACAGGUUUGUAUUGUGUUUAAAUAGAGCAGUUAAGAAAACUUCUCGUUGACAACACAUUUAUGUUUGUCAAAAUGAGAAAAUAGAUUGCUAUUGUGUCUUAAGAAAA
Molecule: long non-coding RNA, 480 nt
Organism: Ficedula albicollis (Collared flycatcher)
Lineage: Eukaryota; Metazoa; Chordata; Aves; Passeriformes; Muscicapidae
Exons: 4
Source: RefSeq, a predicted model, not a curated record